Molecule: ribosomal RNA, 588 nt
Filed under: uncultured Planctomycetota bacterium
Lineage: Bacteria; Pseudomonadati; Planctomycetota
Description: bacterial SSU rRNA
Rfam family: Bacterial small subunit ribosomal RNA
Source: RNAcentral
UGGCUGCAGUCGAGGAUCUUCCACAAUGGACGAAAGUCUGAUGGAGCGACGCCGCGUGCGGGAUGAAGGCCCUUGGGUUGUAAACCACUGUCGAGGGGAAUGAAAUGCGUGUGGGUACUCCCAUGCGUUUGACGGAACCCUGGAGGAAGCACGGGCUAAGUUCGUGCCAGCAGCCGCGGUAAGACGAAUCGUACAAACGUUACUCGGAAUUACUGGGCUUAAAGGGUGCGUAGGCUGCGCGAAAAGUUGGGUGUGAAAGCCCUCGGCUCAACCGAGGAAUUGCACUCAAAACUACCGUGCUCGAGGGAGACAGAGGUAAGCGGAACUCAAGGUGGAGCGGUGAAAUGCGUUGAUAUCUUGAGGAACACCGGUGGCGAAGGCGGCUUACUGGGUCUCUUCUGACGCUGAGGCACGAAAGCUAAGGUAGCAAACGGGAUUAGAUACCCCGGUAGUCUUAGCUGUAAACGAUGAGCACUUGUUUGAAGGGUCCUCCAUAGCCUUUCAGACGUAGCGAAAGUGUUAAGUGCUCCGCCUGGGGAGUAUGGUCGCAAGGCUGAAACUCAAAGAUAUUGACGGGGGCUCACACAA